UACGGGGGGGGCAAGCGUUGUUCGGAAUUACUGGGCGUAAAGGGCGCGUAGGCGGUUCGUUAAGUUGGAUGUGAAAACUCUGGGCUCAACCCAGAGCCUGCAUCCAAAACUGGCGGGCUAGAGUUCUGGAGGGGGUAGCGGAAUUCCUGGUGUAGCGGUGAAAUGCGUAGAUAUCAGGAGGAACACCGGUGGCGAAGGCGGGUCUCUGGGCCGAUACUGACGCUGAGGAGCGAAAGCGUGGGGAGCGAACAGG
Molecule: ribosomal RNA, 253 nt
Filed under: uncultured bacterium
Lineage: Bacteria
Description: partial 16S ribosomal RNA
Rfam family: Bacterial small subunit ribosomal RNA
Source: RNAcentral